This 495-nucleotide non-coding RNA is filed under the name Drosophila virilis. RNAcentral describes it as "Eukaryotic large subunit ribosomal RNA". It matches the Rfam family "Eukaryotic large subunit ribosomal RNA", at positions 1 to 480 of the family's 3401-position model. The record is from Rfam by way of RNAcentral. Lineage: Eukaryota; Metazoa; Arthropoda; Insecta; Diptera; Drosophilidae.
CAACCUCAACUCAUAUGGGACUACCCCCUGAAUUUAAGCAUAUUAAUUAGGGGAGGAAAAGAAACUAACAAGGAUUUUCUUAGUAGCGGCGAGCGAAAAGAAAUCAGUUCAGCACUAAGUCACUUUGUCUAUAUGGCAAAUGUGAGAUGCAGUGUACGGAACAUCAACAUUCUAGUAUGAGAAGUUAACGAUUUAAGUCCUUCUUAAAUGAGGCCAUUUACCCAUAGAGGGUGCCAGGCCCGUAUAACGUUAAUGAUUACUAGAUGGUGUUUCCAAAGAGUCGUGUUGCUUGAUAGUGCAGCACUAAGUGGGUGGUAAACUCCAUCUAAAACUAAAUAUAACCAUGAGACCGAUAGUAAACAAGUACCGUGAGGGAAAGUUGAAAAGGACUCUGAAUAGAGAGUUAAAUAGUACGGUGAAACUGCUAGAGGUCAGGCCGGAUGACUGAUAUCCGGUUAUGGAAAUUCAUCAUUAGAAUGGUAAUAUUUUAAACAA